Molecule: ribosomal RNA, 485 nt
Filed under: uncultured bacterium
Lineage: Bacteria
Description: partial 16S ribosomal RNA
Rfam family: Bacterial small subunit ribosomal RNA
Source: RNAcentral
AUUGAACGCUGGCGGCAGGCUUAACACAUGCAAGUCGAGCGGAGAUGAGGUGCUUGCACCUUAUCUUAGCGGCGGUCGGGUGAGUAAUGCUUAGGAAUCUGCCAUUUAGUGGGGGACAACAUUCCGAAAGGAAUGCUAAUACCGCAUACGUCCUACGGGAGAAAGCAGGGGAUCUUCGGACCUUGCGCUAAAUGAUGAGCCUAAGUCGGAUUAGCUAGUUGGUGGGGUAAAGGCCUACCAAGGCGACGAUCUGUAGCGGGUCUGAGAGGAUGAUCCGCCACACUGGGACUGAGACACGGCCCAGACUCCUACGGGAGGCAGCAGUGGGGAAUAUUGGACAAUGGGGGGAACCCUGAUCCAGCCAUGCCGCGUGUGUGAAGAAGGCCUUAUGGUUGUAAAGCACUUUAAGCGAGGAGGAGGCUACUGAGACUAAUACUCUUGGAUAGUGGACGUUACUCGCAGAAUAAGCACCGGCUAACUCUGUG